AGUGAACGCUGGCGGUAGGCCUAACACAUGCAAGUCGAACGGCAGCACAGUAAGAGUUUGCUCUUACGGGUGGCGAGUGGCGGACGGGUGAGGAAUACAUCGGAAUCUACUUUUUCGUGGGGGAUAACGUAGGGAAACUUACGCUAAUAGCGCAUAUGAUCUACGGGUGAAAGAAGGGGAUCUUCGGACCUUGCGUGAUAGAUUGAGCCGAUGUCGGAUUAGCUAGUUGGCGUGGUAAAGGCACACCAAGGCGACGAUCCGUAGCUGGUCUGAGAGGAUGAUCAGCCACACUGGAACUGAGACACGGUCCAGACUCCUACGGGAGGCAGCAGUGGGGAAUAUUGGACAAUGGGCGCAAGCCUGAUCCAGCCAUACCGCGUGAGUGAAGAAGGCCUUCGGAUUGUAAAGCCCUUUUGUUAGGAAAGAAAAGCAGCAUGUUAAUACCCCGCUGUUCUGACGGUACCCAAAGAAUAAGCACCGGCUAACUUCGUG
RNAcentral lists this ribosomal RNA (492 nucleotides) under uncultured bacterium. RNAcentral's name for it is "partial 16S ribosomal RNA". It matches the Rfam family "Bacterial small subunit ribosomal RNA", at positions 29 to 507 of the family's 1533-position model. The record is from RNAcentral.